AUACGGAAGGUCCGGGCGUUAUCCGGAUUUAUUGGGUUUAAAGGGAGCGCAGGCGGAGAUGCAAGCGUGACGUCAAAUUUCGGGGCUCAACCCCGUCUCGCGUCGCGAACUGCGUCCCUUGGUUGCGGGAAGGGGAGGCGGAACUCGUGGUGUAGCGGUGGAAAGGAAAGAUAUCACGAAGAACUCCGAUCGCGAAGGCAGCCUUCCGGCCCGACAACGGCGCGCAUGCUCGAAGGGGAGGGUAUCCGACAGGAUUAGAAACCCUGGUAGGCCGCACAGUAAACGAUGGACACCCGGGGUUUGGGCUAUAUGGCUGAGCCGCCAAGCGAAAGCGUUAAGUGACCCACCUGGGGAGUACGCCGGCAACGGUGAAACUCAAAGGAAUUGACGGGG
RNAcentral lists this ribosomal RNA (393 nucleotides) under uncultured bacterium. Its description in RNAcentral is "partial 16S ribosomal RNA". It matches the Rfam family "Bacterial small subunit ribosomal RNA", at positions 523 to 918 of the family's 1533-position model. The record is from RNAcentral.